RNAcentral lists this ribosomal RNA (496 nucleotides) under uncultured soil bacterium. Its description in RNAcentral is "bacterial SSU rRNA". It matches the Rfam family "Bacterial small subunit ribosomal RNA", at positions 26 to 523 of the family's 1533-position model. The record is from RNAcentral.
AGAUUGAACGCUGGCGGCAUGCCUUACACAUGCAAGUCGAACGGUAACAGGUUAAGCUGACGAGUGGCGAACGGGUGAGUAAUAUAUCGGAACGUGCCCAGUCGUGGGGGAUAACUGCUCGAAAGAGCAGCUAAUACCGCAUACGACCUGAGGGUGAAAGCGGGGGAUCGCAAGACCUCGCGCGAUUGGAGCGGCCGAUAUCAGAUUAGGUAGUUGGUGGGGUAAAGGCCCACCAAGCCAACGAUCUGUAGCUGGUCUGAGAGGACGACCAGCCACACUGGGACUGAGACACGGCCCAGACUCCUACGGGAGGCAGCAGUGGGGAAUUUGGACAAUGGGCGCAAGCCUGAUCCAGCCAUGCCGCGUGCGGGAAGAAGGCCUCGGGUUGUAAACCGCUUUGUCAGGAAGAAAAGGUUACUGGUUAAUACCUGGACUCAUGACGGUACCUACGAAGAAUAAGCAACCGGCUAACUAACGUAGCCAGCAGCCGCGGUAA